AGUGGCGGACGGGUGAGUAACGCGUAAGAAUCUAACUUCAGGACGGGGACGACAGUGGGAAACGACUGCUAAUACCCGAUGUGCCGCGAGGUGAAACCUAAUUGGCCUGAAGAAGAGCUUGCGUCUGAUUAGCUAGUUGGUGGGGUAAGAGCCUACCAAGGCGACGAUCAGUAGCUGGUCUGAGAGGAUGAGCAGCCACACUGGGACUGAGACACGGCCCAGACUCCUACGGGAGGCAGCAGUGGGGAAUUUUCCGCAAUGGGCGAAAGCCUGACGGAGCAACGCCGCGUGAGGGAGGAAGGUCUUUGGAUUGUAAACCUCUUUUCUCAAGGAAGAAGUUCUGACGGUACUUGAGGAAUCAGCCUCGGCUAACUCCGUGCCAGCAGCCGCGGUAAUACGGGGGAGGCAAGCGUUAUCCGGAAUUAUUGGGCGUAAAGCGUCCGCAGGUGGUCAGCCAAGUCUGCCGUCAAAUCAGGUUGCUUAACGACCUAAAGGCGGUGGAAACUGGCAGACUAGAGAGCAGUAGGGGUAGCAGGAAUUCCCAGUGUAGCGGUGAAAUGCGUAGAGAUUGGGAAGAACAUCGGUGGCGAAAGCGUGCUACUGGGCUGUAUCUGACACUCAGGGACGAAAGCUAGGGGAGCGAAAGGGAUUAGAUACCCCUGUAGUCCUAGCCGUAAACGAUGGAUACUAGGCGUGGCUU
Molecule: ribosomal RNA, 700 nt
Filed under: uncultured bacterium
Lineage: Bacteria
Description: bacterial SSU rRNA
Rfam family: Bacterial small subunit ribosomal RNA
Source: RNAcentral